GACCCGUCUUGAAACACGGACCAAGAAGUUUAUUUUGUGGGCAAGCCAAUGGGUGUCGCGUGGUGAUUGCCUCCUGGCAACAGUGUGCACAUGUAUAAACCCCACAGGCGUAGACAACUCGAACAAGGCAUAAGGGAUUAUGGGUUGGGCAUUGUCCCAAGCAUUCGUGGGGCCCCUCCUUGGAAAGCUGUCGCUCCUCAAGGAAGCGUACACACCCUGAUGCGGGACACCCCGGGAUGGAGGGGCCCGACGAAGGCUUGCGCCAAUGCCGAACCCGUAAUCCCUUAGCAACUUGUUCGAGUUGUUUACGCCUGUGGGGUUUAUACAUGUGC
This 332-nucleotide ribosomal RNA is filed under the name Anopheles pseudojamesi. RNAcentral describes it as "eukaryotic LSU rRNA". Lineage: Eukaryota; Metazoa; Arthropoda; Insecta; Diptera; Culicidae. The record is from RNAcentral.